Molecule: small nuclear RNA, 107 nt
Organism: Equus asinus (donkey)
Lineage: Eukaryota; Metazoa; Chordata; Mammalia; Perissodactyla; Equidae
Source: Ensembl
GUGCUCACUUCAGCAGCACAUACACAAAAAUUGGAAUAAUACGGAGAAAGUUAGCAUGGCCCCUGGGCAAGGACGACAGACAAAUUCGUGAAGUGUUCUAUAUUUUU